GACAGAGGGUGCAAACGUUGUUCGGAAUUACUGGGCGUAAAGCGCGUGUAGGCGGCUCGGAAAGUCGGAUGUGAAAGCCCUGGGCUCAACCCAGGAAGUGCACCCGAAACUCCCGAGCUCGAGUCCUGGAGAGGAAGGCGGAAUUCUCGGUGUAGAGGUGAAAUUCGUAGAUAUCGAGAGGAACACCGGUGGCGAAGGCGGCCUUCUGGACAGUGACUGACGCUGAGACGCGAAAGCGUGGGGAGCAAAC
This 250-nucleotide ribosomal RNA is filed under the name uncultured bacterium. Its description in RNAcentral is "partial 16S ribosomal RNA". It matches the Rfam family "Bacterial small subunit ribosomal RNA", at positions 524 to 773 of the family's 1533-position model. The record is from RNAcentral.